GAGAUAAAUCCUAAAUUUUAUUUAUUAACUAUUUUAAUUACGAUAUUUCCAUAAUACCCUUAUGUAUUUCCUUGUAUAGAUCUAAUUUUUUAUUUAACAAAACAUAUAAUUUAAUAUUAAAUUAUAAUAAUGAAUUACAUCUACCCUAAUUCUACCACACGUUUUUUCUCGAUUCUUUUUUCUUUCAACAGGCGCCCCCUCUCUUCCUCCACAAUAUAGCAGAGAUAUCUUCCUCCAAAUCUCGGUCAACAGGCGCCUCCUCUCUUCCUCCACAAUAGCAGAGAUAUCUUUCUCCAAAUCUCGGUCAUCUUCGCCGGCGUGAGAUCUCCACCGCUUCGUCAUUAUCACCGCCUUAAUGGACCGUCUGCGUCUGCCUUCUUGUCAUCCACCAUAUCAGCCGCCGCGGUUCGUUCAUCCUCUAGGGUGAGGAUCUCCAUCUUCCCAGACAACACAGAAAGAGCCGGUGUUUUUUUUUUGUGAUGGGAGCGAUGAGAUAUACGGGUAAUUUGAAAAGUAUGAAGAAUUUUUAUUAUUUCGUGUCCUGUGAUUUUUUUUUUUGGCGAUGGGAUCGACGAUAUGUACGGGUAAUUGAAAAGUAUGGAGAAUUUUUAUUAUUUCUUGUUCAAAUUUUUUUACUUGAUUUUUCGGAGGCUUUCAAUUUUAAUUGAAUAUUUUUUUUUCAAUAAAUGGGAAUGCACAGUUUUUAAUAAUAAUUUAAUUUAAUAUCGUAUUUCCUUCCAUUCGAAUGGAAACUCGUGUUCUGUUGUUGGGGGAGAAUGUUUAGUCAGUUUCAUAUGUUUAGUAAGUUUUAUAUGUUUAUUUCUCUUUGUAAUGGAUGAGUUUGUAGUAAAUUUAAAAUUCUUGAUUUGUAAACCUAUUUUGUUUUGAAUGAAUUAAAUUUACAUGUUGUUGUCUUCUUUUUCUUUGGUUCAGGUUUUUGCACAAACGGAGUGAUGGCAACAAGUAGGACGAGGUUGGGUGAUGCUCGGGUGACUCUACUAUUGUCUGCAAUGACAUUGUUUAUUAAAGGGGAUUUAUUUUUUUUGUGAAUUUAGGCAAGUUUUUUGUGGGUUUUCUCUUUGUGAAGGGAUCUUAUGUAGAUUUCUAUAUUUUUGUAGUGGUUUUUGAUGAAGUUAUAGUGGAUUUCAGAAAAAAAAUAUACAUGCUGCAGGCGCGAGGAAUAGAGGAGGGGGUGUCGUUGCGCUUACGGUAAAUAGUGGUUUUCGACAUUAAAUAGUGGAUUACGUUAGAGGGAUGGGGUUGACAACGCGUACAGUGUAUAGUGGAUUUCAAAUUUAGGCAGUGAAUAGUGGAUUUCAAAUUUAGACAGUGAAUAGUGGAUAGUGGUUUUUUCGAAUUCUUACGCGACAUUAAAUAGUGGAUUACGUUAGAGGAACACUGAAUAGUGGAUUUCAAAUUCAGGUGGUAAACAAUGGAUUACAUUAAUUUUUUUUAGAUAGUGAAUGUUCAUAAAUUUUGAUGUGUACCAUAAUAGUGGAUUUUAAACUUAGA
RNAcentral lists this long non-coding RNA (1512 nucleotides) under Erythranthe guttata (spotted monkey flower). RNAcentral's name for it is "long non-coding RNA (EGUT_LNC003650)". The record is from RNAcentral. Lineage: Eukaryota; Viridiplantae; Streptophyta; Magnoliopsida; Lamiales; Phrymaceae.